This is a long non-coding RNA of Cynocephalus volans (Philippine flying lemur), 3484 nucleotides long. RefSeq lists it as uncharacterized. NCBI's taxonomy places the organism in Eukaryota, Metazoa, Chordata, Mammalia, Dermoptera, Cynocephalidae. The record is from RefSeq and is a predicted model, not a curated record. The transcript has 3 exons.
GGUGCUACGCUCCUGGUGGUCCUGGCGCUGGGUCUUGGGACGCGGGGUCAGGGCCUCGGGCCCCGGGUAAUGUCCGAGGAGACGCCUCCAGGCUACGGCCGCCCCCCUCACGCCCGAGACCCGCCAACCUGGGGCUGCCUGCGCUCCCUGCCUGCCCGCGUGGGCUCGUGGCUUGCCCCUCGUGGAGUUUCCUGCCUCGGCCCCUGUCCGGUGGAUGCUGCGGCCUCGCGGCCCCACGCUUCAUACACUUGCCGGGAUUUGCAGGCCCUGAAUGAAGACUGUGCCCUCUCCCAUCCCAUAGGAAAUGCCAGAUACUGUAGGUAGCGAGGGUUCUCGCCAUUCUGUCUUCUGCUUGACUCCCCGCAAGUGUAGAUAGAGGACAUUUCCCUCCUCGAUGGCUGCUGGGGCUGGUGAUGUCACCUCCGAGGGUACUCAGUUGAUCAGGCCUGACUGGCGGAGGUGGCCCAUUCCAGGAUCCAAACCCUUGAUCUUGCUGUUACCAGCACCACACUCCAACCAACUGAGCUAAUCGGCCAGCCUCGAAUUACCGCAUUUUAAAAUUACCCGGUUCCAUGUGAGGCCAAGGACACGGGCAGAAAGGGCCAAAGGAUGAGGGGUCCAUGAGGGCCUCAGCUUAGCAACAGCAGACAGAUCUUCCUUGGAGGCUCCUACUUGGCAACCAGCUGUCUUCAGGCACGAGCAAGGCCCAAGUGACCUAUUGGACACAGUCCUCACAACAAGGAGAAACUGAGCCUCAGAGAGGUGGGCUUCCUGAGAUCACACCCUUGUACCCUUCACCCCAACCCCGACCCCCAUCACAAUCCUGGGCCUGUGUAGUGGCAGUGAGCCCGGGUCACCUGUGACCGAAGCCAGACAGACCUCGGUUUCCUUGGCCCCCGCUGACUGAUGCAACACAGCUGAGAAGUCAGUCAGCAGCACCCAGCCGGUAAUGUCCGAGUGGGCCACCAGAGGGCAGCCCUUCAACACGGAUGGUGGCCACAGGGCUUCCAGAAGACUGAUGCAAAGUUACAUCAUCCCAGCAUUUCCCCAGGAGGAGGAAGGAUACCACACGUGUCCACCAAUGUGGCUGAGCCCUGUGGCAAGACGCUUUGUCGGUGUAACGGAAGCAUCAGCAGCCUUUCUCGUCGUAGAUGGUAGGCCUGCCCCUCCUAGAGUUGUGGUCCCCAGGCAGUUGAUGCAGCUGGCUGGUCUAAGAGGCCUGGGCAAGAGGGAGCUGGGAUGGCUCCGAAAAGCAGCUUUUCCACAUUCACUCCUGCUUCCCAGAUUAAUAGUGUGCAAGAAGCUACAUUCUGGUCCCAUACUUUUAAGCAGGGCUCUGGUGCAGAUCUAUGAAUAGUUUUAAAGGGUUAGCUGAGGCAGGAAACAGAGCCAGCCCGUUUCCCCUCUUAGGCUCACAGCGGCUCACCACACGGCCCCUCUUCAGUGCACAUGGCCCUCAGAGGGCACAGGUGGGCUCCUGCCUUCUGUCUCUAACCCAGCCCGGCGGUGGGUGUGGCUGCAGGCCUGGACUCCCUGGAGGCAUCCUGCCAGCCUUUCAUCAUCCAGAAAGAGGACAGAGAGGCUCGGGGAGAAGAAGACCAACCGGUACUGGGGACAUUUGCAAUCCACACAGUCCCCGUCACCUGGUAUCUCUGAAAUGUCUAUGGAAACAGUAAAUUACUAUUUGCUCAACUGUUCUGAAAAUACACGGGGAGGGGUGAGGGAGAACCCUCCUUCCUGCCUCCAGGUGAUGAUAAAAGUGAUUGCCAGGGGCCCAGAGCGGGAGUCUGGUGCUUGCUCACGAUCCUAAUCUCCAACUUGAUCGUCUACGUCAUCAAAGCGCAUGAAAGAGCAGGAGCUUGCCGACCUCUGUGCUGCCUGCACAGACAACCACGUGUGUUCCCCGGAGCCUCUAAUCCGCUUUACUCUUCCCCUUCCUCCCUCUCUCCCUGCUCGCUCAGCCUCCUGGAGCUUUCGCCUGUGGCUUGUUUUGCUUUGUUCUCUAAGGUAACUUUUUCUUUUGGACGAACUAGAUUUGCAGAAACGUUGCAGAUCGUUCUGAGAGUAACGGGUGGUCAUCUUCCACGGUACAUCGGUCAAGACUAACACACAAACACUGCUACAGCACUGUUAACUAACUCCAGACUUCACUUAGAUUUCACUAGCUUUCUCCACUAAUGUUGUUGUUCUGUCCCCUCCAAGGUCCCAUGCAACAGACAACCUUGCUUUCGGGUGCAGCUCACUUUUCAGAGAGCUGAUUCGAGACCCUGACCCAUUGUGCGCCAUGUGACUGCUGGGCGUGUAGAUGCCACACCCUUGGGUUGUGCUGUCAGUAGCCCCUCAAAUACCUGCAGCUCUGAAGAUGGCUGGGGCCUUCUUGGACGUUCUCCCCACGGACCCCUGACUCUGGCCUUCUCCCACCCCCUUAGCGGACCCCUGGCUCCUCCUCUCUCUGGUUGCCUCUGAUUCCAGGAUCAGUCAUUAGCCACUUAGUAUAAACCACAGGCUUUCCUGCAGCAGCGCACGUGGCCGAGAUGUGCAGAUGCCAACUUCCUUGGUGCCCUUGUCCUUCUCCUUUCUUUCUCCCUGAUGUGCUGGAGUUGCAGAAUGCCUCGGCUCUAUUUUGCAAAUCAGGGAACCAAGCACAAAGAAGCAAAGCUGCUGGCUCCAGAAACCCACAGCAGGAUCUCACUGGGGUCUGCAGCCUCCUCUGGCCUCCGAGUGGAGCCCUUGCCUUGCUUAGACCACUGGGUCACAUUAGCCUGACAGGUUCCUGUGCAAGGCAGGGGAGCACAGUGGUGCCAGUGCAGUCCCGAGCAGGGCCCCGUGCCAACCCCAGCCCUGGUGGCCUCUCUCACGCUCCCGCGCAGCUCUCUGGCCCUGCGGCUCAGCACCGUCCUUUCUCUUCAUUCCGCUGCCAUUCCCACCUCCACCUUCGCUCUGUCACACCACCCAACCCAGAGAGAGAAUGAACUCGUCUUUAAAAGCACCAUGUGCUAAUGACUCUAGGUGGUAAUGAUGUACCCACGCAGCCUCAUCAACUGUACAAGUGUCCCACUCUGGGGCAGGAUGGGGACAGCAGGAGAGGCUGCGCACUCCGGGGGUGGGAGUGAUGGAAACUCUGUACUUCUGCUCAAUUUUGCUGUGAACCUAAAACUGCUCUUGAAAGGGGCAGGUGCUUUGUAGUUAAUUGUGGUUGCCCAAAUCCUCAUGUUGAAGCCUCACCCUCAGUACCUCAGAAUGCGGCUGCAUUUGGAGACGGGGCCUCUACAGAGCUGACUAAGUAGAAAUGAGGCUGUUCUUGUGGGGCCAACUCCAAUCAGACCAGUGUCCUCAUGAGAAGAGAAGAUUUGGACACACAGAGGAUGCACAGAAGACCAGGUGAGGACACAGGGAGAAGACGGCCAUCUGCACGACAGUGAGGGAGGCCUCAGAGGAAACCAGCCCUGCUGGGACCUGGAUGUAGGAUUUCUAGGUUCCAGGA